This is a non-coding RNA of Arthromyces matolae, 82 nucleotides long. The record is from the annotation of a GenBank genome assembly. NCBI's taxonomy places the organism in Eukaryota, Fungi, Basidiomycota, Agaricomycetes, Agaricales, Lyophyllaceae.
UCCGGUAUGGUGUAACGGCUAACAUUGCCGCCUUUCAUGGGACUGUGCGCGGCAGCUCGGGGUUCGAUUCCCCGUACCGGAG